Small nuclear RNA from Mesocricetus auratus (golden hamster), 106 nucleotides. NCBI's taxonomy places the organism in Eukaryota, Metazoa, Chordata, Mammalia, Rodentia, Cricetidae. The record is from Ensembl.
AUACCCUCUUCAGCAGCACAUGUAAUAAAGUUGGAACGAUACAGAAAUGAUUAGUGUGGCUCUUGCAUGAAGAUACAUGCACAUUUGUGAAACAUCCUGCAUUUUA